UACGUAGGGUGCAAGCGUUGUUCGGAAUUACUGGGCGUAAAGGGCGCGUAGGCGGUGCAUCAAGUCAGGCGUGAAAGCCCCGGGCUCAACCUGGGAACCGCGCUUGAGACUGGUGCGCUAGAGUUCGGGAGAGGAUGGUGGAAUUCCCAGUGUAGAGGUGAAAUUCGUAGAUAUUGGGAAGAACACCGAUGGCGAAGGCAGCCAUCUGGACCGACACUGACGCUGAGGCGCGAAAGCGUGGGGAGCAAACAGG
This 253-nucleotide ribosomal RNA is filed under the name uncultured bacterium. RNAcentral's name for it is "partial 16S ribosomal RNA". It matches the Rfam family "Bacterial small subunit ribosomal RNA", at positions 524 to 776 of the family's 1533-position model. The record is from RNAcentral.